AGCUCCGUAGCUCAAUUGCAUAGAGCAAUGCUGAACGAAGGCAUAGGUUGCAGGUUGGAAUCCAGUCGGAGCUA
Molecule: transfer RNA, 74 nt
Filed under: Allomuricauda sp. ARW1Y1
Lineage: Bacteria; Pseudomonadati; Bacteroidota; Flavobacteriia; Flavobacteriales; Flavobacteriaceae
Description: Muricauda sp. ARW1Y1 tRNA-Arg
Rfam family: tRNA
About the family: Transfer RNA (tRNA) molecules are approximately 80 nucleotides in length. Their secondary structure includes four short double-helical elements and three loops (D, anti-codon, and T loops).
Source: RNAcentral